UAUAGAUGGACUAGUUCUUAAAGCAAGUGAUAUUGAAAAAAAAGUAAGUGUUGUGUAUGAUCCUCUAAUGUUUUGUAUUUUCAGCGAUGUACUCGCAUAGUGUGUCUUUUGCAGGAGGAAAAAUGGCAAGCGCAAACGGAAGAGCUAAAGAUGGUGGGGUCACGGAGGAACAACUGAAAGCGGUAGAGUAUGAACUACUGAGAAGCAAGACCAUUGAACGGAAUGAUAAACGGCUAGCAGCGGUACGAGCAACAAGAGCUUCUAUGCAGGAAGAUACGGAAGCGAACCAAGCCCCCAAAAAGAAAAGAAAGGUAUGUAGCCCUGAAGAUGUUCUACUUGAAGGAAGCAAAUGUAGCUUGCAACACUAAACUAUAUAUCUAUGCAGGCACCCUCCAGCGCACCUAUAAGCGCGAAUGAAGGACGUGUUUUGAGGUCUAGGGUAUCAAAAGAUCAAGAUCAUGUAGAUCCUGAGCAUCAGCCUUCCAAAG
RNAcentral lists this long non-coding RNA (488 nucleotides) under Triticum aestivum (bread wheat). RNAcentral's name for it is "long non-coding RNA (TAES_LNC026620)". The record is from RNAcentral. Lineage: Eukaryota; Viridiplantae; Streptophyta; Magnoliopsida; Poales; Poaceae.